Long non-coding RNA from Polyodon spathula (Mississippi paddlefish), 275 nucleotides. RefSeq lists it as uncharacterized. The record is from RefSeq and is a predicted model, not a curated record. NCBI's taxonomy places the organism in Eukaryota, Metazoa, Chordata, Actinopteri, Acipenseriformes, Polyodontidae. The transcript is spliced from 2 exons.
UGCAGUUCCUGUCUCGGGUGGAUGUCCAACGAAGCUGCCACAGUUGCUGGGAUACCGCCAGGAGGAGAGCCAUUGACACCAGACAAGCGUCUCUCAAUGUGAGUUCGAGUCGCAAAGCGAGACUCCAAUGUGUGUUUAUAUAGUGGAGGCUGCGCUGCGGGCAAACGUCCAGGACUCUAGCUGCUCCCCCCACUCCGAGGCGGGGUGAAAAGUCUAAACGGGCCGGGCGCUGGAGCGUGCGGGACCUGGACUCCGGCCCAAAAGAGAGAGAGAGA